GACGAACGCUGGCGGCGUGCUUAACACAUGCAAGUCGAACGGAAAGGCCCUGCUUUUGUGGGGUGCUCGAGUGGCGAACGGGUGAGUAACACGUGAGUAACCUGCCCUUGACUUUGGGAUAACUUCAGGAAACUGGGGCUAAUACCGGAUAGGAGCUCCUGCUGCAUGGUGGGGGUUGGAAAGUUUCGGCGGUUGGGGAUGGACUCGCGGCUUAUCAGCUUGUUGGUGGGGUAGUGGCUUACCAAGGCUUUGACGGGUAGCCGGCCUGAGAGGGUGACCGGCAACAUUGGGACUGAGAUACGGCACAGACUCGUACGGGAGGCAGCAGUGGGGAAUAUUGCAUAAUGGGCGGAAGCCUGAUGCAGCAACGCCGCGUGCUGGAUGACGGCCUUCGGGUUGUAAACCGCUUUCGCCUGUGACGAAGCGUGAGUGACGGUAAUGGGUAAAGAAGCACCGGCUAACUACGUG
This 468-nucleotide ribosomal RNA is filed under the name uncultured bacterium. Its description in RNAcentral is "partial 16S ribosomal RNA". It matches the Rfam family "Bacterial small subunit ribosomal RNA", at positions 28 to 507 of the family's 1533-position model. The record is from RNAcentral.